This 429-nucleotide ribosomal RNA is filed under the name Acidobacteriota bacterium. RNAcentral's name for it is "Acidobacteria bacterium partial 16S ribosomal RNA". It matches the Rfam family "Bacterial small subunit ribosomal RNA", at positions 355 to 776 of the family's 1533-position model. Lineage: Bacteria; Pseudomonadati; Acidobacteriota. The record is from RNAcentral.
UGGGGAAUUUUGGACAAUGGGGGAAACCCUGAUCCAGCCAUCCCGCGUGUGCGAUGAAGGCCUUCGGGUUGUAAAGCACUUUUGGCAGGAAAGAAACGUCAUGGGUUAAUACCCCGUGAAACUGACGGUACCUGCAGAAUAAGCACCGGCUAACUACGUGCCAGCAGCCGCGGUAAUACGUAGGGUGCAAGCGUUAAUCGGAAUUACUGGGCGUAAAGCGUGCGCAGGCGGUUCGGAAAGAAAGAUGUGAAAUCCCAGAGCUAAACUUUGGAACUGCAUUUUUAACUACCGGGCUAGAGUGUGUCAGAGGGAGGUGGAAUUCCGCGUGUAGCAGUGAAAUGCGUAGAUAUGCGGAGGAACACCGAUGGCGAAGGCAGCCUCCUGGGAUAACACUGACGCUCAUGCACGAAGGCGUGGGGAGCAAACAGG